GACGAACGCUGGCGGCGUGCCUAAUACAUGCAAGUAGAACGCUGAAGCGAGGAGCUUGCUCUUCUUGGAUGAGUUGCGAACGGGUGAGUAACGCGUAGGUCACCUGCCUUGUAGCGGGGGAUAACUAUUGGAAACGAUAGCUAAUACCGCAUAACAAUGGAUGACACAUGUCAUUUAUUUUAAAGGGGCAAUUGCUCCACUACAAGAUGGACCUGCGUUGUAUUAGCUAGUAGGUGAGGUAACGGCUCACCUAGGCGACGAUACAUAGUCGACCUGAGAGGGUGAUCGGGCAAACCGGGACUGAGACACGGCCCAGACUCCUACGGGGGGCAGCAGUAGGGAAUCUUCGGCAAUGGGGGCAACGCUGACCGAGCAACGCCGCGUGAGUGAAGAAGGUUUUCGGAUCGUAAAGCUCUGUUGUAAGUCAAGAACGAGUGUGAGAGUGGAAAGUUCACACUGUGACGGUAGCUUACCAGAAAGGGACGGCUAACUACGUG
RNAcentral lists this ribosomal RNA (497 nucleotides) under uncultured bacterium. RNAcentral describes it as "partial 16S ribosomal RNA". It matches the Rfam family "Bacterial small subunit ribosomal RNA", at positions 28 to 507 of the family's 1533-position model. The record is from RNAcentral.